CCUACGGGUGGCUGCAGUGGGGAAUAUUGGACAAUGGGGGGAACCCUGAUCCAGCCAUGCCGCGUGUGUGAAGAAGGCCCUCGGGUUGUAAAGCACUUUCAGUGAGGAAGAACGCCUGGUGGUUAAUACCCAUCAGGAAAGACAUCACUCACAGAAGAAGCACCGGCUAACUCCGUGCCAGCAGCCGCGGUAAGACGGAGGGUGCGAGCGUUAAUCGGAAUUACUGGGCGUAAAGCGCGCGUAGGUGGCUUGAUAAGCCGGUUGUGAAAGCCCCGGGCUCAACCUGGGAACGGCAUCCGGAACUGUCAAGCUAGAGUGCAGGAGAGGAAGGUAGAAUUCCCGGUGUAGCGGUGAAAUGCGUAGAGAUCGGGAGGAAUACCAGUGGCGAAGGCGGCCUUCUGGACUGACACUGACACUGAGGUGCGAAAGCGUGGGUAGCAAACAGGAUUAGAUACCCCUGUAGUC
This 465-nucleotide ribosomal RNA is filed under the name Vreelandella stevensii. RNAcentral's name for it is "partial 16S ribosomal RNA". It matches the Rfam family "Bacterial small subunit ribosomal RNA", at positions 338 to 795 of the family's 1533-position model. The record is from RNAcentral. Lineage: Bacteria; Pseudomonadati; Pseudomonadota; Gammaproteobacteria; Oceanospirillales; Halomonadaceae.